RNAcentral lists this long non-coding RNA (642 nucleotides) under Trifolium pratense (red clover). Its description in RNAcentral is "long non-coding RNA (TPRA_LNC009896)". The record is from RNAcentral. Lineage: Eukaryota; Viridiplantae; Streptophyta; Magnoliopsida; Fabales; Fabaceae.
CAUGACAAUUAUGUUAUGAAAAAUGCUAUAUGUCCCGAAAAUUUCAUUCCCGAAAAUUCACCGAAUGAUGUGUUGCAACAAUUUCGGUCAUUACGUCAGCAACUUUCAACCCCUUUUUGUGCCUUCUCUCUUGGUAGAAAAUUAAAUAUGAUGAACCUUCUAUGUCAGAGUGAAUACUAAAUAUCCAAUUUGGACAUAAAAUUGUAGGACAGUAUUAACAAUUAAUCUCUUGUAUUACCAUUAUAUAGAAAUUAAACUCAUAUAUACAAAUAUCAAAAGGGAGUAGUCAAAUGAAUAUGAUGCAAUUUUAAAGAUGAUUUUAAAAUACUAUCAAUAGAAGUUUUGGUCCAUGUAUUCAGCUCAAUUGGUAUGAACAUCACAUUAUAUAUAUAGAGAUUGUGAUUUGAAUCCCGGACACCUUAUUUAUUCAUCUUUAAUGGUGAAAUUUCUAACCACUAGAUUACUUGACAAAUUUAUUUUUUUAACAUUUUGUCUUCAUAAGUAUAACUCAAUUGGUAUAAACAUUGCUUAUUCUAUGCAGGGAAUUCAAACUCUGAUACUUCCACUUAUUAGAGUCAUUAAAUCUAUAAUAUCAAAAUUAAAUCGUAGUUUAUAUGGUUAGAGGAAUAGCUAAAUUAAUAC